RNAcentral lists this ribosomal RNA (497 nucleotides) under uncultured bacterium. Its description in RNAcentral is "partial 16S ribosomal RNA". It matches the Rfam family "Bacterial small subunit ribosomal RNA", at positions 28 to 507 of the family's 1533-position model. The record is from RNAcentral.
GAUGAACGCUGGCGGCGUGCCUAAUACAUGCAAGUCGAGCGAACAGACGAGGAGCUUGCUCCUCUGACGUUAGCGGCGGACGGGUGAGUAACACGUGGAUAACCUACCUAUAAGACUGGGAUAACUUCGGGAAACCGGAGCUAAUACCGGAUAAUAUAUUGAACCGCAUGGUUCAAUAGUGAAAGACGGUUUUGCUGUCACUUAUAGAUGGAUCCGCGCCGCAUUAGCUAGUUGGUAAGGUAACGGCUUACCAAGGCAACGAUGCGUAGCCGACCUGAGAGGGUGAUCGGCCACCCGGGAACUGAGACACGGUCCAGACUCCUACGGGAGGCAGCAGUAGGGAAUCUUCCGCAAUGGGCGAAAGCUUGACGGAGCAACGCCGCGUGAGUGAUGAAGGUCUUCGGAUCGUAAAACUCUGUUAUUAGGGAAGAACAAAUGUGUAAGUAACUAUGCACGUCUUGACGGUACCUAAUCAGAAAGCCACGGCUAACUACGUG